Molecule: ribosomal RNA, 447 nt
Filed under: uncultured bacterium
Lineage: Bacteria
Description: bacterial SSU rRNA
Rfam family: Bacterial small subunit ribosomal RNA
Source: RNAcentral
UGGGGAAUCUUGGACAAUGGGCGCAAGCCUGAUCCAGCCAUGCCGCGUGGAUGAUGAAGGCCUUAGGGUUGUAAAAUCCUUUCGCCGAGGACGAUAAUGACGGUACUCGGAGAAGAAGCUCCGGCUAACUUCGUGCCAGCAGCCGCGGUAAUACGAAGGGGGCUAGCGUUGUUCGGAAUUACUGGGCGUAAAGCGCACGUAGGUGGCGACGUAAGUCGGGUGUGAAAGCCCCGGGCUCAACCUGGGAACCGCAUUCGAGACUGUGUUGCUGGAGUACGGAAGAGGAGGGCGGAAUUCCCGGUGUAGCGGUGAAAUGCGUAGAUAUCGGGAGGAACAUCAGUGGCGAAGGCGGCCCUCUGGUCCAGUACUGACACUCAAGUGCGAAAGCGUGGGGAGCAAACAGGAUUAGAUACCCAAGUAGUCCCUGAGCGGGCUGGCAAGGCGCAU